UUCUUCUUCUUCUUCUUCUUCUUCUUCUUCUUCUUCUUCUUCUUCUUCUUCUUCUUCUUCUUCUUCUUCUUCUUCUUCUUCUUCCUUCACCUAAUUUAAUCUAACCAAACUACUACUGCUACUACUACUACAAUUUUUCUCCUCCUCCUGCUCUUUUGUCUUACCUAACAUAACCAAACUACUACUACUACUACCUACAACUACUACUACUACAGCUCUGGAUAGUAUAUAUAUGUCUGGUGCAUGCUGAGGACAAGGCACACCUCCCAAGACUAUCCGGUGUGGCGUUAGUCAAGCCAUGGCAAAUAGUCUGGAGCCCUUGCCUUUGUACUAUUCCUGAUAGUCUUUGCUGUGGCUGCUGCUGCUGCUGCUGCCUACAUGUGGGUCAAAGGUUAGUAGUACACUAUCCCAGGCUGUUCUGCUGGGAUAGUAUGCCAUCUUGCACUAUUUUGGUAGAAGUUGACCAUUUUUAACUGUCUUGGCAGGAUAGUACAUGAUUUUGGACUAUUUUGCUAUGAUGGGAUGUUUUUUGUGGUGUUUUGUUCAAAAUAGUACACCAUUUUGUGAAGUCAUCCCCCUCCUAAAAAAAAUUUCAUACUAAAAAAACACCAAAAACACAAUUUUAGCCAUCACCCAUAAAAUAGUUUACUAUCUGACUAUCCAGAGGCACAGCAGACUCAGGUAGUCAAGGAUUUCACAGAGGAGGCCUUGAAACAUAAACCCCCAAAAAACACAAUUUUGAACUAUUUUGACUAUUAGCCCCAAAAUAGAACACCAUCUGACUAUCCAUAAAGUGAGGGACUAAAUUAUACAUCACAAAAAAUAUAGUCAUAUUUGAAGAGCAAAAAAACAUUGAUAGUAACAUUUUCAACACAAAACCACAAAGGAAACCCAUAGUUUUAACUAUUGACCAAAGCAGUGUACUAUCUGACUAUCCCCAGUCACAGCAGAGCCCCAGAGGAGCUAGCACAGACCAGUGUUGUUGUUGUUGUUGUUGUUGAUCCUGCUAUGGGUGGUGCUGAUGGAGCCCCAUGUGGAGCUGUCCCUGGCUGUCACCAUCACCACCUCCCUGCCACACUCUCUCUCUCUCUCUCAAAAGCCACAAGUUCCUUUAGUGCUCUGAACAUUUUUUGUUUUUGUAAAGGCAUUUUAAAGGUUGGAGCAAAGCCUUGAAUGAUGAGCACCUUUGUUGACCUGAGUGAGACCUCUGCUACAGCCCCACAUGACAGAAGAGACAACUAGUGGGCCGUGUGUGGUGAACCCGUUUUGUCUGUCAGAGCCACCCCUACAGCCACACACCACCACCACCACCACAACUAGCAGGAGAGGGCAUCCACCACCUCCUCCUCCAGCAGCUGGCCAGGGCACAGGACCAGGCUGAGCAAGCAGGUGGUGAUGCAGAGGGUGGCCAGCUUGCCCGCCCCCUCCUGUUGGCCAGCCACAGCACAGCACACAGCUGCAGUCUGUUGCGGCCAGGCUACUGAGGCACAAGUCUAUGCACGCGUCCGGGACAUGAAGGUGACGAG
This is a long non-coding RNA of Scylla paramamosain (green mud crab), 1526 nucleotides long. RefSeq lists it as uncharacterized. NCBI's taxonomy places the organism in Eukaryota, Metazoa, Arthropoda, Malacostraca, Decapoda, Portunidae. The transcript is spliced from 3 exons. The record is from RefSeq and is a predicted model, not a curated record.